AUAUAUAAAGUUAAGUAACUUUAGUCCACCUAUGAAGUGGAUAAUCACAGUUUUCCACAAAAAUCAAGCCCAGCUAAGCUACACUGUCAAGUGGAAAUCAUUAGAUCUGCAACUAAAAGACUCAUAAUCAAUAGAUCAACAUUUGAAACAAUUGAAAGAAUAAAAAAUGCAGAUGCAAUGCUGGACACCAAGGGUUUCAUUGGGUUUAUUUGAAAAUCAAAAUGCCCUGGGAUCAGGGACCUUAGUAUAUCAGAGACCUUGUGACUUCAUUACAAUCCAUUUGUCAACAACAUUUUGAUCUAUCCACUUGAUUACCAUAUAAUCUCUGGGUUUCCUAACAAAUUAAAAUUAGUGGACACUAUGAUGAGUCAUGAAACAUAAUUUGAAUGUUCCUGUGAGAUCGAUGGCAAGAUUCAGGUACAUUGGAUGACAAAGAGAUAUUUUCGUCAAAAAUAAAUAGAAUAUGUAACUUUUUUGGAGGCUGAUAUCAGACAAAAUCCUCAAGGAAUAUAAAGGAUGCAGGAAAUAACUUAAAGAUGGCAAUAGGAGGGCUCAAAGGCGCUGUGAAAUGUCUUUGGCAAGAGGGAUUAUGGAGAAUCCCAAGACAUUUUAUCCAUUCAUUAAAAGCGAGAGAGUAGCUAGGGAAAGGGUAGGGCCAGUCCAGGACAAUAGAAGGAAUGUAAUCAUGAUGGCAGAAAAAUGGGCAAGGUUUUUAAUGAACUGUUUGCAUCAGUAUUCACAAAGGAUAAGGGCAUUGAUGAUGGUGAGAUAUUAAAAAGGAGGUAUUGUGUGUAUUGAGAAUUUUUUAGAGACAAUUCUCAGGGACUGUAUUUAUUUACAUUUGGAUAAAGCAUGGAUUUAUUGGGGAAAGUUAGCAUAUCUUUCUGCCGAAGAUGUCCUGUCUAAAAUUCGAUACAGGUUUUUUUAUAAGAUCUUACAAAGAUGAUUGAUAAAGGUCAGGCAGUGAAUGUUAUCUACCUGAACUUUUGUGAAGCAUGAGGCCCCUCAUGGUAGGCUGGUCCAGAAGAAUAAGUCAAGUGGCUCUCAGGUGAGUUGGUAAGUUGCACUCAAAAUUGGCUUGGUCAAAUGAGACCAAGGUAGUGAUGGAGGAGCAUUUUUUUUGAAUCAAGGUCCAUGACCAGAGGUAUUCCACAAGGAUCAGUGCUUGGACUUCUGUUCAUGUAGUGAUCUGCGCAGACAUAGCUGGCUGAAGAGCCUGCUGUGCAAAGUCCAAUGUUAUAUUUAAGGAAUUAAUGGGUUCCCAUAAUGGGGAUGCUCAGACAUGUAAAUACGCACAAGUUGAGGGCUUGGAACUGGCUCUUAAUGCACAGUUUUUAUCUGUUUUCACUCCCAGCCCCUUCCCAUAGUCAUAUCACUCUUCUGUAUUAACUUUAACCAUUGUUACAUUCCUAGGUUGUCUGACAGCAAAAAGAGAGAGAAAAGUCAGCCUUAAGAAAAUAUGUUACUCAAACUGCACAAAAAUAUGCUUCAUAUUAUAAAAUGUAUAAUGCCUAAUCAUGUGAACAGGUUCAAUAUUUAUAUUUUGUGCACGUAGCCUGUAGAAUUCCAAAAUAUCAUAAAAUCCUUCAAUCUACUUCUUGCGUAUGGCGUGCACAGCCGUAGGACAACUUGUUCUAUUUGAUCUUAUUUGAUUGUGCACGCCAGGUUAAUUGCAUUCGUCGAAACAGGGCGGACCACGUGAAGGUUGCAAUCUCCCACCCCAAUCCUUCAAUGUGUCACUGUGUUAAAUAGUGAAAUCUUCAUUAGUGAAGAAUAGGCAUCAUGUAAUUUGAAAUACGAAAAAUGUUUGAUUUUAGUAAAUUUGUUGAACUUGUGGCCGGUUUGCUGAAGGCUACGUCUGUUACACUCUGGGCAGAUUUUGCCAUUUCCUUUUCAAUGUUCAUGAUUUUUGAAACUGCUAUAUGCAGUAAAUCUCUAGAUGAUUAAUUAUACUUCCAAUGCAUUAUCCUAUAAUUGUGACAGAGGUGGAUCAUGUGAUCUUAAUUCUGCUGAAGCAAUAACAACCGAGGAACUCAUCCAUCGUUUCCGACCCAACCUUGUUAUAAGUACAGUGAGGCCGUAUGAGGAAGAUGACUGGGCUGAGAUGAUUAUAGAUGGUCUUUCUUAUUUGUUUCAGAUUGUAGGACUGUGCAGCAGAUGCCAAAUGAUAUGUAUUAAUCAAGGCAAUGGGAAAAGAAGCAAAGAACCCCUACAGACUCUGUCUUCGUGCAGGGACAGAAAGAUGACCUUUGGAGCAUAUCUGUUUCAUCAGCUACCAGCAACCUCAGUGCAUUCUGCAUUUCUGACUGUAGGAUCCCAGGUUAUUGUGAAAAUCAAAGAGACACCUGCUGGACAAUGACAUCCUCUGCAGGAAUGAACAUGAAUUUCUCCCAUCCCCAUGAUUAAAACUUUACAAUGCAAUAAUGCAUAACUGUUCUGUUUUUGAGUCCUGAAAAUGAAGUUGAGGUUAAUUCAAGUUAACAUGCCAGAAGAUCCAUUACUAUCGGAUUGUUUCCAGAUUUUACAAAAGAAAAUGCAAAUGAUUUCCUAUUAUAAGUUCCUUGCUGAAUAUAAAUUUAUGAAUUGCAUCCCAUUUCAAAUUUAUUUUAUUUUAUUUAUGUACAUGACCAUGGUGUAAUUUGAAUGUUUUGAGGAAUUUGUGCAAAGAGUUGAGAUUUUUUUCCUCUUCACAUUAUACACUUUUGAAAAUAAUGCUGAUAAUUUUAUUCGUCACUAUUGAAAAAUAAAACUAAUAGUGAUAACAAAUAUUUGGAAAUUACAAAUUAAAUGUAAAUAGAUGCUAUAUUGUCAGAAUUUGGCUUGACGUGCAAUUAAAUCUGGAGUACUGUUCCUGA
Molecule: long non-coding RNA, 2855 nt
Organism: Amblyraja radiata (thorny skate)
Lineage: Eukaryota; Metazoa; Chordata; Chondrichthyes; Rajiformes; Rajidae
Exons: 3
Source: RefSeq, a predicted model, not a curated record